This 2050-nucleotide unclassified non-coding RNA is filed under the name Hevea brasiliensis (rubber tree). The record is from RNAcentral. Lineage: Eukaryota; Viridiplantae; Streptophyta; Magnoliopsida; Malpighiales; Euphorbiaceae.
CAAAUCUUUAAUUUCAACAAACAAGGAACGGCAGAAGAUGGUAAUACGACUAUAAAACAUCAAGAUCAGUGUAGUAGUCUAACACUUGAGCACUUGCCCUUUCACGCACACACGCUCCUCGUGCUCAUUCUCUCUCUCUCUCUCUCUAAAACCCUUGAAGUAGCGUUCUCUUCAAUCGACCACCAGCAAAUGGCGAACAGUAAUCUUCCCCGAAGAAUCAUUAAGGAAACUCAACGUCUCCUCAGUGAACCAGCACCGGGAAUAAGUGCUUCACCAUCAGAGGAUAAUAUGCGAUAUUUUAAUGUUAUGAUUCUUGGCCCCACACAGUCUCCAUAUGAAGGUGGGGUUUUCAAGCUGGAAUUAUUUUUGCCUGAAGAAUAUCCGAUGGCUGCACCAAAGGUAUUGUAAUUUUGGGCAUUUCUUCAACUGAUUCUUGGAAAUGAAUCAGUUAUUGCAUUGGCUGUUUAAAAAUGAUUAGGAUGUUUUGCUAGAAUGAAAUGCAUCCUUUAGUAUUGUUGAAGUUCAUUUGGGUUUGCUCCUUUUGUCAUAACGUUGAAUUUGCUUAUUAAUUGAUAUGCAUUAAUAAUAUUGUCCCCCUUGUGCUUCGUUGAGUUUGAAUUGAUGCCUUUGGUUUUCCCUCCUGCCUGGCUCCCAUUUUUUGGUAAAAUUUUAAAUAGUUGGUUGUGAUUAUAGCAAUGUUCAUGAUAAUUCAUGACAAUUAGAUGUACUUUGACAAGAUCAAUUUUAACAUCUGGGGUUGGUUUUUGGCAUUUGGAGUUGGGGAACAUCAUUUUUAGGCUUAGAAAAGAUUGCAGGUGCGUGCUUGGAGGCUUAUCAUGCCUUGUCUUCCUUAUUUACAAAAUCGAAGGUUCCUUAAUUGUACAUUGGAAAUGAAAAGAAAUAAAAUAGAGGAAAAGAAAAGUAGUCUAUUUUCCGUUAUAUUGUUUGGUUAUCUUAUGUGAAGAAGUGGAUAGAAAAAGAACUAAGUUUGUAAAUUCUUUUUUUACUGUUAUACCAUCAUCAUGUAGCCAACUGUGCCUUUAUAAGAAUUCUGAACCCCAAGCUGGCAUAUCUAUUUUCAUUGCAUACACACACACACACACACUAUUGUUGCAUUAAAUGAUGAAAACUAUUAACCUGGAUCCCCAUUAGCAGUAAAUGUUAUGAGAUUCACAAGCAUUCCUUCAAAACCAUUGACAAGAGUAAGAUUCAGUGACUCCAAAUUGUAGUUCUCAGGUUGAUCCACUUAACCCUUCUUUGAGCAUUUGACAACAUUAAGUUUUCAUUAUUAACUAACCAUUCAAGUUUUAUCUCCUGGUAAUGUUUGUGUGUAAAAGAAAUGGAAAUUCCAUAAUAAUUCAUUGGACCUAAAUAUGUAAAUUUGAAGCUUUCCUGUUUGUAAAUGUGUUGAACAUCAUCAGCCUUAAUCUGACCCAUGUGUCUCUACAUAUUAAAAACUUGAAUGAAAUCCUGUGGGACAAUGUGAAGUUUCCAUCUCUAACAAUAACCCUUAAAAUUUCAUGGACAGUUUAACAUUUUAACUCAUAUUUUGCUUCCCAUGGUUGGGGGAAUUGAGACAGGUUGUCCCUUUAAUAUUUGGGAGUACUGCUUGUCCACUGGCGCCUUUUUUUUUUUUCAGUAUCUUGGAAAUAGCAUCAUGUUAUAUGGUCAUAAUUACCAUAUUUACAAGGCUAAUUUGAUUGGGCUUGUAAUGUUUGUAUUUCUGUGCCCAAAAAUAUAAAGAGGCUGAAGAUAACCUUAGUUAUCCCUGAAUGGAUCUGGAUAUUUGAAAUCUAAGGUGAUGUUCAGGCAAAAUUAUCUUUCAAAUCACAGUUUCUAAUAUCAGUUCAGGAGAAAUUACUUAAUAGUACGUUGAAUGUCAUUUACAAUAUUCUAUGUGACUGACUGGGUUAAUGGUCUACUUUUUGAAUUCAACCUGAAUUAGACCUAGUCAAAAUUUCAUGAUCUUCAUAUAUCAACUGCUCAUCCUAAAAUUUUUGUAUUUUACUGAUUUGGGUAUAUUUCAUAAUAUUAUUAUUUUCCCUCUUAC